Molecule: ribosomal RNA, 495 nt
Filed under: uncultured bacterium
Lineage: Bacteria
Description: partial 16S ribosomal RNA
Rfam family: Bacterial small subunit ribosomal RNA
Source: RNAcentral
GAUGAACGCUGGCGGCGUGCCUAAUACAUGCAAGUCGAGCGAACAGAUGAGGAGCUUGCUCCUCUGACGUUAGCGGCGGACGGGUGAGUAACACGUGGAUAACCUACCUAUAAGACUGGGAUAACUUCGGGAAACCGGAGCUAAUACCGGAUAAUAUAUUGAACCGCAUGGUUCAAUAGUGAAAGACGGUUUUGCUGUCACUUAUAGAUGGAUCCGCGCCGCAUUAGCUAGUUGGUAAGGUAACGGCUUACCAAGGCAACGAUGCGUAGCCGACCUGAGAGGGUGAUCGGCCACACUGGAACUGAGACCCGGUCCAGACUCCUACGGGAGGCAGCAGUAGGGCAUCUUCCGCCAUGGGCGAAAGCCUGACGGAGCAACGCCGCGUGAGUGAUGAAGGUCUUCGGAUCGUAAAACUCUGUUAUUAGGGAAGAACAAAUGUGUAAGUAACUAUGCACGUCUUGACGGUACCUAAUCAGAGAGCCACGGCUAACUACG